GUUAAAGUUUUAUUGAAGUAUAGCAUAUUUACGGAGGUUGUGAUGAUUUCUGCUGUACAACAAUUUACCUGCUCAUUUUCUAUGCAUGCUUCUAUGAUUUUGAAGGGAUUUUCAAUGUCUCAUUCUUGCAGCACGUUUUAUUUAAAGAAACUAACCACACUUUGCUCCUGAACAGGUGGAGAGAUUCAAUCUCUCAGGGAGCCGUAAGUGAUGCCUUAGUAUAUCAGUUGGGUCUGUGAAACACUGAGCACAAGAAAUCAUUUUCUGGCUGCCUCAAACCAUUUUUUGAAGAUCUGAUUGCUACCUCCAGAACUUUGCCAAUGAGUUCAUGUGUGAACUUUUUUAGGGUCACAAGCACUGUGCAUUCCAUAAACAAAAGUAGUUACAUAAACAAUAACAAUGGAAAGAAGGCAGAAUAGAGGUGGUCAGAAGACACAUAAUGAGAAGAAAAGGAAAACAAAAAGAGCUGAGAAAAACCAUAGUUGUCCAUUUGGUACUGCUUAGGGGAAUACCUUUUAUUUAUUUUUAUUCUUUUCUACUAUAGCUAAUCACAGAUAUUAAAUACAGUUCCCCGUGCUAUUCAUGAGAACCUUGUUUAUCCACCCUAUAUAAACUAGUUCGCAUCUGCUGACCCCAAACUCCCAAUCCAUCCUUCUUCCCUCCCCCUCGCCUUCCUGGUAACCAUAAAUCUGUUCUCUAUGUCUGUGGGUCUGUUCCGUCAAUAAGUCUAUAUGGAAUAAUAGAUUCCAUACAUAAGUGAUAUCAUACGGUAUGCGUUUCUCUUUCUGAUUUACUUCAUUAGUAUGAUAACCUUUAGUUGCAUAUAUGUUUCCCUGCUGAUGAACAUUUAGGUUGCUUCCAUGUCUUGGCUAUUGUAAAUAUUGCUGCAAUGGAGAGAGAGGGGUGCCUGGAACUUUCUGAAUUACAGUUUUGAAUGGAUACAUUCCAGGAGUGGGAUUGCUGGAUAAUACUGUAGUUCUGCAUUUAGUUUUCUGAAGAAUCUCCAUAUUGCUUCCCAUAGUGGUUUCAGAAGUUUAUAAAAAAUUCCUUUUAAAGGUUUUCCUUCCUUCUUUCCCUCCCUCCUCCACCUUUUUUUUUUUUCUUUUUUUUUUAAGAGAAAUAUCACAGUAGGAAACUUGACCAAUGCUUCAAGAGAUUGAAGUGGAAUUCACUUGGAAUCCAAUUUUUGGAUUAAUAGUGGAAAUGGUUGGGACCAAACUAUAAACCUAAGAAGACAGGGCAACCCACAAUUAACUGCUAUUAGAAAUAAAAAUAAAUUGACCAUACCACUUGUUAAUGCCCAUAAGUACAAUGAAAGUACUCACAAUUGGCUCCUUAUCAAACCUCUCAAAUCCAAAUCCAUAUUUAGUUCUCUCAUCAAGGUCCAAUGACACCAGUAAGAACUGGAAACACUGGUAAAAAAUUAGGUUUGCUGUAAAGACUUUUGAAACUUUUUUUUUUGGUCUCUCACGCAACGUGUAAGUUCCUGGGCCAGAGAUCAAAAACAGCACAGCAGUGACCUGAGCUGCUGCAGUGAUAAUGCCAGAUCCUUAAUUUACUGAGCCCUAGGGAACUUCUUGAAAGUAUUUUUGAUGCUAAUAUAAAGGACAAACUUUAACUGUAUGUAUAAAUCUAGUCAUGAUUUUGUCAUGUGAUCUUUUAAGAUCUGUAUAAACUAUGACCUAAAUAUUCCACAAUAUCUGUAUUUCUGCUUGUGCAAAUGUAUUUAAAAAUGCCAAAAAUUCCUCAGUCUUGAGGGUCACCUUAUUGCAGUUAAUUUACUCAUUACAGACAUUCUGAGGAAUCUGUCUGUAAUCAUUAACAAAUAGAGUAAGGAAAAUACAGUAGAAGUGUUUCAGAGGAAGCAAUUAAUUAGACAGUAAACUUUUUUUUUUUUUUGGUUUUUUUGCUAUUCCUUGGGCCGCUCCUGUGGCAUAUGGAGGUUUCGGCCCUAAAGAGCAAAAAAAAAAAAAAAAAAAAAGAAGAAGAAGAAAAGGGUUUAUCAGUACAGGACAUUUCUGAGAUUUGUGUGAAAUACAAGGAGGAAGGCAAAGGAAUGCCAAGCUGAGAACUUAAUAGCUACAGUUCUAAAAUCAAAGGAAAAGUGGGGAAGGGGAUUAAGACCUCCUUCUUCCUCCUCCUCUAAAUAGUAGCAGAUAUCAAGCUUCCAUCAUCAAGUUUGGGGGGGGGAGUUUUCUUGUCCCUGUCUGGUCAAACUGGGACUGUCAUGGCACAAUGGAAAUGAGCAAAAAGGUGAUAAUACACACUAACAUAUGGGAAAUCAGCUCAGAUUUCAGUAGACUGCCACUUUUCCCUAUGUUUUUGUUUUUAGUGUGUACAGAGAAGCAUGUCCUAGGAAUCACUGGCUUACUAACCUCACUAAACAAGAUGUAGGUCUCAUUUUACUAUUCCUUUAUCAUCUGGAGGCAUAUUUCAUGCUUCUGUUCCAUGGUUUUGCUGCUAAGCAAGCCUGCUUUCUUGCAUUACCAUUAAUUUAUAUACCCCCCAAUUUUUUUUUUUUAACAAUCCCCUAAUAGGAUCAACUACUUAAUCACCUGUUUCUGCCCUUUAGUCUGUAACUAUCAUAAACUGUCCUCCUCUUUAUGUAAAUCAAAGUUUAAAUACAUUUUGUCUGUUUUAGAUCAAGGGAAAUUUUCCCAAAACUAAGUAUUUCAGGCAACUAUUUUUAAAAAAUAAGCAUUUUCCUAAUCUUACAAGUAUUUUUUAAGAUACUUAUUAAAAGUUAGCAUUUUUCAGGAGCUCCCGUCCGUGGCUCAGCUAAAAGGAAUCCAACUGGGAACCAUGAGGUUGCGGUCCGAUCCUGGGGCUUGCUCAGGUUAAGGAUUUGGCCAUGUGGUGAGCUGUGGUAUAGGUCAUAGACCCAGCUUGGAUCUGGCACUGCUGUGUCUGGGGCACAGGCCCAGCAGCAACAGCUCAGAUGCGAACUCCACCCUGGGAGUGGGGUUGGGUGUGACCUUAAAAAGCAAAAAAAAAAAAGAAAGGGAUUUUCCCAAUUAAUAACAACUGGAGGUACAGCGCAGAUGAUAUUGCAUAAAGUAUCACACAAGAGUUGCCCGUUUUAAGAAAAGUAAUUUACAGAGGCCUAAUUUUCCCCACAAUUGUAUUAUUUACAACCUGACAAAAGCAAAAUAAGAAAGUAUUGUUACGUUUUGUUUUCUAAGGCUUACAGCAUCUCCAGUUAGGGUCUUAAAUAUUUCUUCGCAGCUUGGAUCACCCGCCCAUUUUGGGAUCAGUGCGGGAGGCACCAACAACGUUUGGAGUUCUAGCUGGUCAGCCAGACUCCCCGAAAGGCUGCUGGGAUCUGGUGGGUGGGCUGUGGUCUCAAGGUUCUUACCUCUCCCUUUACGACCCGGGAUAGGAAACCCGGCAGGAAGAGUUAGUUAGGGCCGCGUGGUUAUUAUUUUCCAAAGGUGCCAAAAGUCUUGUCUUCCAGGAUCGGAGGUUCAAGUGUUACACUUGUUAUGAUCCAGGUGGUGAGAGUUUCCAUAAUAUUACAACGCCUGUGUCAGUGCCGCAGCUGAAAAAGAGCUAUGAGUCCUCCAUCUGUGCUGUCGUCUGCCGCAGUAUCUUCUAGGUUUCAAUCUUCUCCAUCAUUCCCUUCCUCAGCUUGUUAUUAACGAGGCCGAGACACUCCAUUUUUUACAACGAUGUAGAACAGUUUGCUGUACAUGUUGCACACCCUUUUCCAAAUCAGCGAGUCCGCUAACCAAUUUACCCACGAAAGUUU
RNAcentral lists this long non-coding RNA (3748 nucleotides) under Sus scrofa (pig). Its description in RNAcentral is "lncRNA (ENSSSCG00000043846.2)". The record is from RNAcentral. Lineage: Eukaryota; Metazoa; Chordata; Mammalia; Artiodactyla; Suidae.